UUAGAAAAUUGAGAAGAAAUAAAUUAAGAUAGAUAAAUUAUCUUUAAAAUUAUAUAGUAGUGGCUAUGGCAGAGGCUCACCACCUACUCAAUGGCGGAGCCAGCACCUAGCUAAUUGGCUCGAUCGCUCGAGAAGAUCACGCUAGCUUCGCCAGAAUUUAGAGUUGUCGCCGGAAGCGGCCAGCCAGUGAGAAGAAGCUUGAAUCGGAGGCAACGUGGAGGCGAAGCCAAGUUGAAGAAGAAGAUACAA
RNAcentral lists this long non-coding RNA (249 nucleotides) under Olea europaea (common olive). Its description in RNAcentral is "long non-coding RNA (OEUR_LNC012037)". The record is from RNAcentral. Lineage: Eukaryota; Viridiplantae; Streptophyta; Magnoliopsida; Lamiales; Oleaceae.